This is a long non-coding RNA of Gasterosteus aculeatus aculeatus (three-spined stickleback), 332 nucleotides long. The record is from Ensembl. Lineage: Eukaryota; Metazoa; Chordata; Actinopteri; Perciformes; Gasterosteidae.
UGCAGCCUUUUCAGAGGGCACGGCCGACCCUGCCGUCUGCUCCGUGCAAUUACAAGAUGGAUUAACAGCUCUUUCUAACACUGUCAUCAUCACCUCGCAUGCCUUGGAGGAAUCUGAGGAUGCUGCGUUCCUGACCGAUGUCUCAACAGAGACGGACGAGACAGAGAGAGACGCCACACAAAUCUCAGGAGGUAAAGCCGUGAAGGUAGGACACCUAUCUUUAGACUACUACCUAUGUAUGGACACAGUGCCAAAUAAGGUAAGAUGUAUUGAGGUGAUUGAAAAAGAGAUGGGGGAGUGGUGGAGGUACACCCCCCUCACCUAGAUGGAUG